GUAACACGUGACCAACCUGCCCCGCGCACCGGGAUAGCCCCCCGAAAGGGGGAUUAAUACCGGAUGCGCCGGGAGGGCCGCAUGGCCCUCCCGGGAAAGCCCAGGCGGCGCGGGAUGGGGUCGCGGGCCCCAGUCAGGUAGUAGGCGGGGUAGAGGCCCGCCUAGGCCUACGACGGGUAGCCGGGUUGACGAGACCGACCGGCCACAUGGGACUGAGAUACGGCCCAGACUCCUACGGGAGGCAGCAGUGGGGAAUAUUGCGCAAUGGGGGCAACCCUGAACCGCAGCAACGCCGCGUGCGGGACGAAGGCCUUCGGGUUGUAAACCGCUUUCCAGCAGGGAAGACAUCGACGGUACCUGCAGGAAGAAGCCCCGGCUAACUACGUGCCAGCCGCAGC
RNAcentral lists this ribosomal RNA (398 nucleotides) under uncultured bacterium. RNAcentral describes it as "bacterial SSU rRNA". It matches the Rfam family "Bacterial small subunit ribosomal RNA", at positions 110 to 518 of the family's 1533-position model. The record is from RNAcentral.